UAUUAUGGCACAUUUAUGUAAUUUAAUUUAAAUGUCUUUUUAUCUUACUGAUAAAAAUAAUGAUGUAUAUUUACGUAAUUCAUGAGUUGUGAAUUGUGAUAUGAAUGAUGUGAUACUUGAAUACUUCGAUAGUUAGUAAUUGUACUUUUAUGUACUUAUAAAAAUGUUAUUUAUUUCAUUAACUAAUGCCUUUCAAAACGUUAAGUACUCUGACGCACGGUGUAAGUAAAUAUACGCAAAUCCUCCAGAGUUAUCGGCAAUCUCAGAUCACAUUAUUGGAAAUAUAAGAAUAAGUAAAAUGGCGUUCCCUAGUCAUAUGGUUUUUUUUAUUAUUAAUUUAAAAUUUUAAUUAAUUAGAUAUAAACAAAUAUUUAUAAUAAUAAGUAUGUAAGAAGCAUGUGCACAAACUGUUAUCUCUAAAACAUUUUACGUUUAUAUAAAAACAAUAAUACCUACAUAGGAGUUAUAACUUACAAAUGUACAAUCAUAUACACAUAUAAACACUUAACAUGUAUAAAUCCGUGUCCGGAUCUACAUACUAUAGUUGCAGCGUAAUACAAUCGAUAAUAAUAUGCAUUAAUUUGUCGUAAUAAAUGUUUGAUCAUCUGCUAAAUUUCUCAGCCUGUACACAUUGCACUUCUUUUCUUUUCUUUUUUUAUUUAUAGUUAUUACUUAUAAUAUUAUUAAUUAUUAUUAUUUAAUCACUUCUUGCCAUUUAUUUUUCCUGCAAUACUAAAUUAUAGUAUAUGAUUUGUAUUUUAAUGUUGUAGAAUUUAAUUGAACAACACGCUUAUGUUUAAAUUAUUUAAUAAUCUUGUAAACUGUAAGUUUUUAUUUAUUUUUUUAUGCUUUAAAUAAAAUAACAUUUUAAUUUCUA
This is a long non-coding RNA of Aphis gossypii (cotton aphid), 877 nucleotides long. RefSeq lists it as uncharacterized. The record is from RefSeq and is a predicted model, not a curated record. The transcript has 2 exons. Lineage: Eukaryota; Metazoa; Arthropoda; Insecta; Hemiptera; Aphididae.